This 985-nucleotide non-coding RNA is filed under the name Nyctyornis amictus. RNAcentral describes it as "12S ribosomal RNA". It matches the Rfam family "Bacterial small subunit ribosomal RNA". Lineage: Eukaryota; Metazoa; Chordata; Aves; Coraciiformes; Meropidae. The record is from RNAcentral.
ACAAAAGACUUAGUCCUAACCUUACCAUUAGCUCCUGCCAAACACAUACAUGCAAGUAUCCGCAUCCCAGUGAAAAUGCCCCCAACUUCUUACCAAGAUAAACGGAGCUGGUAUCAGGCACACUCGUCGUAGCCUAAGACACCUUGCUCUGCCACACCCCCACGGGCGCCCAGCAGUAGUAAACAUUAAGUAAUAAGUGAAAACUUGACUUAGUUAUGGCAGUACAUAGGGCCGGUAAAUCUUGUGCCAGCCACCGCGGUUAUACAAGAGGCCCAAGCUAAUUGUCCAAGCGGUGUAAAGUGUGGGACAUAAUCUAUGUAUCUUAUCAACUAAGGCCAAAACAUGUCUAAGCUGUUAUAAGCUCUAAGACUCACCUAAGUCCGCUCAUCAAAAUAGCCCUAGCGCCUAUGAUCAACCAACCCCCACGAAAGCUGAGGCUCAAACUGGGAUUAGAUACCCCACUAUGCUCAGCCUUAAAUUUAGAUGUCUACUCUACCAAGCCAUCCACCGGAGGAUUACGAGCACAAACGCUUAAAACUCUAAGGACUUGGCGGUGUCUUACCCACCUAGAGGAGCCUGUUCUGUAAUCGAUAACCCACGAUAGACCCCACCGCUCCUUGCCACAGCAGCCUACAUACCGCCGUCGCCAGCUCACCUCCUCUGAAAGAACCCAAAAGUGAGCACAAUAGCCCCUCCCUACGCUAAUAAGACAGGUCAAGGUAUAGCCAAUGGACCGGAAGUAAUGGGCUACAUUUUCUAGACUAGAAUAAACCCACGAAAAGAGGUAUGAAACCUACCCCUAGAAGGAGGAUUUAGCAGUAAGACGGGAUUAGAUUGCCCGUCUUAAGACGGCCCUGAGACACGUACAUACCGCCCGUCACCCUCCUCACAAGCCCACAAAACUUAUAAGUAAAACCCAACUAAGAGGCUAAAGAUGAGGUAAGUCGUAACAAGGUAAGUGUACCGGAAGGUGUACUUAGCACAU